This 253-nucleotide ribosomal RNA is filed under the name uncultured bacterium. Its description in RNAcentral is "partial 16S ribosomal RNA". It matches the Rfam family "Bacterial small subunit ribosomal RNA", at positions 524 to 776 of the family's 1533-position model. The record is from RNAcentral.
UACGUAGGGUGCGAGCGUUAAUCGGAAUUACUGGGCGUAAAGCGUGCGCAGGCGGUUUUGUAAGCCGGAUGUGAAAGCCCCGGGCUCAACCUGGGAAUGGCAUUUGGGACUGCAAGGCUUGAGUGCGGCAGAGGAGACUGGAAUUCCUGGUGUAGCAGUGAAAUGCGUAGAUAUCAGGAGGAAUACCGAUGGCGAAGGCAGGUCUCUGGGCUGACACUGACGCUCAUGCACGAAAGCGUGGGGAGCAAACAGG